RNAcentral lists this ribosomal RNA (559 nucleotides) under Candidatus Saccharibacteria bacterium 32-49-10. Its description in RNAcentral is "bacterial LSU rRNA". It matches the Rfam family "Bacterial large subunit ribosomal RNA", at positions 45 to 493 of the family's 2925-position model. The record is from RNAcentral. Lineage: Bacteria; Candidatus Saccharimonadota.
ACCGAUGAAGGACGUGGAAGACUGCGAUAAGCUUCGGGUAGCUGUCAACAAGCUAUGAUCCGGAGAUUUCCGAAUGGGGAAACCCAAUACGAGUCAUGUCGUAUUACCUGUAUCUGAAUAAAAUAGGAUAUUUGGCGGGAACCAACUGAACUGAAACAUCUUAGUAGGUUGAGGAAUAGAAAGUAAAUAACGAUUCUCGGAGUAGUGGCGAGCGAAACGGGAUGAGCCCAAACCUUUUAAGUUUCUAUCUUUUGAUAGAUAAGCUGAUAGGCGAAUACUUAAUCGGGGUUGUGAUAUUACACGAGACCAAGUCAGAGAACUCGAGUUUACUCGAGGUAUCUGAUUUGCGACCAGCAGCUAUCACUGACUGGAUAAGGUAAGAAAACUCUGUUGUUAGCAGAAUAGUUUGAAUGACUAACCAAAGGACGUGAAAGUCGCGUAUGCGAAAACAACAUUGACCUUAUACGUGUUUUAUCGAGUAGGGCGGGGCACGAGAAACCCUGUCUGAAUCCGGCUGGACCACCAGCCAAGGCUAAAUAUAAUAUACGAUCGAUAGUGA